CUGGUUCAGAUACCCAAGGAUCGGGUGGUGAAGAGACUACAUUAAGGUUUUCGAUAUUGAGAAAGUGGUAUAAAGCCCUUGAAAGCUUAAGAGCUGAUAUUGAGUUUGCUAAGAAAAGGAGACUUUCAACUUCUGCUCCAAAGACAGUUAGUUCGCUCCAGAAUGGAGUUGUGUUCUCACUUAAUGGAUCAAAAUUCAUGAUUCUCUUCAGUUA
Molecule: long non-coding RNA, 214 nt
Organism: Panicum virgatum (switchgrass)
Lineage: Eukaryota; Viridiplantae; Streptophyta; Magnoliopsida; Poales; Poaceae
Exons: 2
Source: RefSeq, a predicted model, not a curated record